Molecule: long non-coding RNA, 8669 nt
Filed under: Malus domestica (apple)
Lineage: Eukaryota; Viridiplantae; Streptophyta; Magnoliopsida; Rosales; Rosaceae
Description: long non-coding RNA (MDOM_LNC003519)
Source: RNAcentral
UUCUGUCAUCCUUGCACAACGAGUUCAUUAGAACACUAUAUGUGUAUACAUCUGGUGAAAUUCCGCCGUUAAGCAUGCAAAUCAAGAAGCUCUUGGCCUUUUCCAACCUCCCCGAUUGGCACAAUGCAUAAAUUAGAGUGUUGUAGGUGACAACAUCUGGCCUGACUCCAUGAUCUUCCAUUCCUUCAAAAAGAGGGAGCACUUCUUCCCAGCGACUCAUGUUGCAUAACCCAUGAAUCAAUGUGGUAUAAUUGAAAAUAUUCGGUACAACACUUUUGCUGAUCAUAUCUCGAAAUAGGGUCAAUGCCUCAUCUAUUUGUCUUUCUUUACAGAGGCUAUCGAUGAUUGGAUUGUAGCAUUCUUGGUUGGGCUUGAACCUUCCAUCUUCCCACAUCUUCGUAAGUAUCUCGAGAGCCUUAGAAGUUUUCCCAGCUUUGCAUAGUCCAUUGAUCAUAGUAGCAUAAGUUAUUUCAUUGCAUGCGUAUCCUUUCGUUUCUAUUUCUUCGAAGAACUCCAUUGCCUCCGCCAGGGAACAAUUCUUGCAAAGCCCAUGAAGAAAAGUAUUUAUAGAAUGAGCAUUGGGUUGAAGACCGUAUUUAAGGGUAAUUGCUAAAACAGAGAAACAAGCGUUCAUCCAGUUCAGCCGGCACAAGCAAUUCAGAAAAAUAUUCAUUGUACUGACAUCAGGUCGGAAUUGAGCGCAACCCAUCAACUGUUUACACAUAGAAACCACAGCGGAAUAUUCCUUCAUCUUGGAGAGUGCCCCCAACAAACAAUUCAAAGUCCAAAUAGAGGGCAAGGGUUUGGUUUGAAUCAUGGAAUAAAAGUAACCCAAGGCUUCAUCUUUCCUAAUUUUUCCAGAUUUGCAUCGAGUCUGAAUCAUACUCUCCGACACCAAAAGGGUUUGUUUAAUUGUAUGCGUACAAGUAGGAUUAGCAUUAACAGCGUCGGAAUGAAAUGCCCUACUUGGAUUCUGCAGAAUGGCAAAAAUGAAAGAAGGAAGAUUACCUGGGAAUGGAGUUCUUGUAGUUAUCCUUUUCAUCGUCCUCUUCAGUUUCGUUAAACUAGUCACUUUCGAGGAAGAGGAAAAAGAAGGAACGCAAGUUCAAGGUUAUUGUUUGUUUUUUUUUUUUUCAACUGCUUCGGUGAGAAUAAAUAAUGUGUAAAAAAAUAAAGGUUUUUUAUUCAAAAUGGUCCCUGCGAUUUGUAUUAUCCAUAAGUUUGAUCCUUGAGAUUUCAAAUCAAUAGAAGUAGUCCCUGAGAUUGUCCACCAUUCAUGAUUUUGGUCAUUCCGCUGAAGCUUUUGGCCGGAAGUUUGAGCAAUUUUCAAAGCUUUGUAACUCAAUCAUUUCUUAACCAAAUUCGACCCAUAAUAUAUCAAAAUGAAGAUAGGAAAGUGUAGAAUAAGAUUAUAUUUAAUUGGAACCCCAAUGAUUGCCAUAGAUGGUCAGAAAAUAGCCUCAAAGUUGACUGGUCCGAGGGAAAACUGGAAAACUUGCCAGAAACUCUUCAAAAACUGGGUAAACUUUAAACGUUCAUAACUUCUUCAAUACUCAACGAAAUCAUCAAAAACGAAAAUCAUAGUUCUCAACAAGAAGAAGAGAAUGAUACAUUUUUCAACGGCUAAAUCGCCGUGGUUUGGCCGGAAAACUGCUUGAAAGUGGCUGUUGAAAAACGAGUCAGCAACUUUCGAUCCGUUUUCUGACCAAACCACGGCGAUUUAGUUGUUGAAAAUGUACCAUUCUCUUCUUCUCGUUGAGAAGUAUGAUUUUUGUUUUUGAAUCACUUAAUUUCGUUGAGUAUUGAAGAAGUUAUGAACGUUUAAAAUUUACCCAGUUUCCGACGAGUUUUCCAGUUUUCCCUCAGACCAGUCAAUUUUGAGGCUAUUUUCCAACCAUCUCCGGCAAUCAUUAGGAUUCCAAAUAGAUAUAAUCUUAUUCUAUACUUUCCUAUCUUCAUUUUGAUAUAUUACGGGUCGAUUUUGGUUAAGAAACGAUUGAGUUACGAAGCUUUGAAAAUUGCCUAAACUUCCGGCCAAAAGCUUCAGCGGAAGGACCAAAAUCAUGGAUGGUGGACAAUCUCAGGGACUACUUCUAUUGAUUUUAAAUCUCAGGGACCAAACUUAUGGAUGAUGCAAAUCUCAAUGACCAUUUUGAAUAAAAAGCCAAAAAUAAAUAAGUGUUUGAUAAACUGUAGUGCUAAAAGUGCUUUUGUAAAAAAAGAAAUAGGAUUGUUUAUAUGAAAAUUUCAUUAAUUGGUACCUAAUUAAAAAAAGCAAUUUUUUUAUAAGCAUGUGUAAAGCUGCUUCUAGGGGGUAUAGGUAAGAUUAUCAUACCAAAACCCAUGUACCAAUUAUCAUACCAAACUUUUGGUAUGACAAAAUCUAUUACCAUUAUCAUGCCAAACUUUUGGUAUACCGAAUUUCGGCAUGCCAAAUAGUUCGGUUGGUAAGGUAUGUUAAUGGUAAUGGUAAUUACCACUUUGUUUUAGGCCAUUCUUUUGGGCUAAAUUUUGAUUUUUUUUUUCCAACUCAAUUCAAGCCCCAAACGUGUUUUGGUCACUCCCUUUUGGCUUUCUAAAACUUUUUUAUUUAAGGGAACUUUAAAGAAAAGCUCCGGAUACUGUUCAUUUUAACGAAAAACCACAUUUUUACACUAAAAAAUCAAUUAUGAUAGUAUUCAUUUUACCCUUUAUUUUGUCUUUAUCGUUAAAACUCAAAGUUUUCAAGUCAUUUUUAUUAGUUUUCCUUUUAUUUAAUUAUGAGAAAUUUAUAGAGAUUCAUUUAAGAAACAAGAAGUAAAAAAAUUAACUUGAUAGACGAAGCCUGAGAGAAAGACAUCCCAAAUUGAUGAAGGAGAAGAUGAGGUGGACUCCAGAGAGAGAGAGUCACUGGAACUAGAGCAACAGAGAUGAAGUCUAUGGCUAGAUGAGUGAAAAAAUGAAGAGUCGCAGCGCAAGAAGGCUUAGAUUUUUUUAUUGGGAAAGUAGAAGUUAGAGGAUGAGAUGAUUGGAUAAAUGACUAGAAAAAAUAAAGUGCAUAUAUAAUGAUAAUAAUACCUAAUUAUAUAUAAAUGAAUAAAUAAAUGAUAUAAUAUUAAUAGUAGUGAUACGUUACGGUAUACCACUAGUAACCAUUACCGUACCAAAAGUGUAUGGUACGGUACAAAUACCGUACCAUUACCAAUGGUUUUUGCCACAACUUUGGUAUAGUACUGUUGAUAUGGUAAUUUGGCAAAAAAAUCCUGUGUUGGACCCAUGAUUUUGUAAGAAAAUACCUUUUUUUUUUCAUUUACGAACACAACUGAUGGCACAACUUUUUAGGAAAGUUUAAACCCCCAUCAAAAGAUCGAAUUACUUAAAUACGCUUGUCUUGCCAAAUUAAGCUGGAAGGUGUUAUCUCAAGAAAAUAAUUGACGGUCCAGUUAGUAAAGAAGAAAAUACCUCGGGCAGUAAGAUGACUUUCUUCAUUGCGAGAUAUAGCAAGAUCACUCUUUGGCCUGGAAAAGGAUUCUUAGAAGUAGAGUCGAAUCAUUUUCAUGGGGAUCUUAGGGGAUCCCAUGAUCGUGACCGUUCAUCGUACAUUGUGCGGUCAGUUUUUGUUAUAUACUAUUUAUAUUUAAUUUUAAAUUUUAAAUUUUAAAAUGAUUUCUGAUCGCACGAUAUGCGAUAAACGGUCACAAUCACAAGAUCUCUAAGAUCCCCAGGAAAAGGAAUGUAGAGCACCUUUUCCAGAAGUAGAGAUGUGCUCUAGAAAUGCAUGAGAUGAAUUGUGGGUAGUGAUCAAGACAUAUGCUUUUGAAUCAUCAUUGGAUUUUUCCUUAUAUACUUCCAUCUUGCUCUAAGGAUCAAAGAAGUGCUUUAGACUGGAAAAAGUUAGUCAUUUUAUUGAAAAUAACUGUUGGAAUCACUUCACACUUAAUCAAGUUUUAAGUGUGGAUAUAGUUAAAAAAAAUUGUAAUGUUACGAUCUGCUUCCUCUAAUUGUGAGUUUUGUAUAAAAUCAGCAACGUGGUUGCAAAAUGAAGAAGGACAACAGCUAAUCAGAAAGAGUUUGUUAAGAAAAAUGUGGAAGCUAACUAGUAACAAUUUAUCGUAUAUGCUUGAUUGGAUGAAUAGUCUUGAUUUUUUGGAUUCAAAUGAGUUAAGUGACCUUAGUAGAGUUCUUAUUUGUUGGUAGAUUUGGAAUGAUAGAAAUAAUUGGAUUUUUCGGGGUGAUGUACCCUAUCCUAGAAGGUCUCAAAUGAUUGUUACUAGUGUGGGGGUAGAUUUUUAUAAUGCAAGCAUAAGAAUUAAUUUGAAUAAGGGUACGAUAUCUCCACUAUUGUUAAAUGGCAUCCCCCUGAUAAAGAUUUUGUUAAACUAAACUUGACUUUUUAUUCAAAAUGGUCAUUGAGAUUUGCAUCAUCCAUAAGUUUGGUCCUUGAGAUUUAAAAUCAAUAGAAGUAGUCCCUGAGAUUGUCCACCAUCCAUAAUUUUGGUCCUUCCGCUGAAGCUUUUGGCCGGAAGUUUGGGCAAUUUUCAAAGCUUUGUAACUCAAUCGUUUCUUAACCAAAUUCGACCCAUAAUAUAUCAAAAUGAAGAUAGGAAAGUGUAGAAUAAGGUUAUAUCUAUUUGGAAGCCCAAUGAUUGCCGGAGAUGGUCAAAAAAUAGCCUCAAAGUUGACUGGUCCGAGGAAAAACUGGAAAACUUGCCGGAAACUCGCCGAAACUGGGUAAAAUUUAAACGUUCAUAACUUCUUCAAUACUCAACGAACUCAAGUGAUUCAAAAACGAAAAUCAUACUUCUCAACGAAAAGAAGAGAAUGGUACCUUUUUCAACGGUUAACUCAUUGUGGUUUGGCCAGAAAACGGCUGUUGAAAAACGAGUCAGCAACUUUCGAGCCGUUUUCAGGCCAAACCACGGCGAUUUAGCCGUUGAAAAAGGUACCAUUCUCUUCUUCUCGUCGAGAAGUAUGAUUUUUAUUUUUGAAUCACUUAAUUUCGUUGAGUAUUGAAGAAGUUAUGAACAUUUAAAGUUUGCCUAUUUCCGGCGAGUUUUCCAGUUUUCCCUCGGACCAGUCAAUUUGAGGCUAUUUUCCGACCAUCUCCGGCUACCAUUGGGCUUCCAAAUAGAUAUAAUCUUAUUCUAUACUUUCCUAUCUUCAUUUUGAGAUAUUAUGGGUCGAAUUGAGUUAAGAAACGAUUGAGUUACGAAGCUUUGAAAAUUGACCAAACUUCCGGCCAAAAGCUUCAGCGGAAGGAUCAAAAUCAUGGAUGGUGGACAAUCUUAGGAACUACUUCUAUUGAUUUUAAAUCUCAAGGACCAAGCUUAUGGAUGAUGCAAAUCUCAUGGACCAUUUUGAAUAAAAAGCCAACUAAACUUUGAUGGCUCUGUUAUGCAAGAGAAAACUUUUUUUCAUUUGGGCUUUACUGGUGCUGGUUGUACUCGCGGUUUCUCUCUUUAAUAAAUUUUUCUUCAAUAAAAAAAAAAAAGGUUAGAUGAUGAAUGUAACUAAUUAAAAUGUGAGAAUGUGAUGGUGCAAUAUCAAAGGAAAUAGUUUCAACAUUGUCAAAGAUGAUAUGGGGAGAUGGAGACAUGAGACUCAUUCGUUGGAUGAACGUGUCUAGUUGCCAAAGGCUAUGCGAAAAUUUGGCUCUCGCCGUCUCCGUGAUAUGAAUCUUAUAGGCGGGGAAGUGCUAUCAAGUGUUAUACUUUCAGGCAGCGAAAUUCCAAAUUGGUUCAGUUGCCGUAAGGACGUAUAAAUACAUAGACGGCCACCAAUGAAGUACGUAUAAAUGACCAUGGUGAUUGUUCGUUGAGAUCAAACCAGACAGAUCAAUGCAGCUCAUGGCUGGCUAAAAUACAUUCCAUUACCGGCUCACAUAAAAUCGAAGGUGGAUGAGGGGGAUGAUCAAUCAAAGCCGUACCGGCUCACAUAAAACAGAAUUGUAUGUAACAAUAUCAGGCAAGACUCCAUAACCAAUCAUGGUUUUGAAUAACCUCACACAUUCUUCCCAGUUACCAGACUUGCAUGAAGCAGAAAUCAAGGAAUUAAAAGUGACAACAUCAGGCUUUGUGCCUUACGUUGUCAUAUUUUCCAACAGAGUAAGCGCUUCUUGAAUUCUUUCUUCUUUACAAAGAGCGUUCAUAAGAACAUUAUAGGUGUAUACAUUGGGUGAAAUUCCACUGUUUAGCAUGCAAAUCAAGAAGCUCUUGGCUUUUUCCAACCUCCCCGAUUGGCACAAUGCAGAGAUCAAGGAAGUAAAAGCGACAACCCAUGAGGUCGGAAUUGAGAGCAACCCAUCAACUGUUUACACAUAGAAACCACAGCAGAAUAUUCCUUCAUCUUGGAGAGUGCCCCCAACAAACAAUUCAAAGUCCAAAUAGAGGGCAAGGGUUUGAUUUGAAUCAUGGAAUAAAAGUAACCCAAGGCUUCAUCUUUCCUAAUUUUUCCAGAUUUGCAUCGAGUCUGAAUCAUACUCUCCGACACCAAAUGGGUUUGUUUAAUUGUAUGCGUACAAGUAGGAUUAGCAUUAACAGCGUCGGAAUGAAAUCCCCGACUUGGAUUCUGCAGAAUGGUAAAAAUGAAAGAAGGAAGAUUACCUGGGAAUGGAGUUCUUGCAGUUAUCCUUUUCAUCGUCCUCUUCAGCUUCAGUUCGCUGGACAAAUUCAGCAAACCUCACUUCGUUAAACUAGUCACUUUCAAGGAAGGGGAAAAAUAAGGAACGCAAGUUUGAGGUUAGGGAUGUGUUAUCCACACAUCUCAUUUUACUUCUCACACUCUUGAUAAUUUCUAUCCGUUGAUAUUCUUCAAUUCAUCUGAUCCAACGAUCGAAAAUUAAAAAGAUGUGUGAGAAGUAAAACGAGACGUGUGGAUAUCACAUUCCUUGAGGUUAUUGUGUAUUUUUUUCAAAUAAAUAAGUGUUUGAUAAACAGUAAUGCUAAAAGUGUUUUUUCUAAAACAAGAAUAAGGUUGUUAAUAUGAAAAUUUCAUUAAUUAGUAGUGUUCACUUGCUUCUAAUUAAAAAAAGCGAUUUUUUUAGAAGCAUGUGCAAAGUUGCUUCUAUAUCCUACUAUUUGGACCCAUGAAUUGUGGGUAAAGGUCAAGACAUGCUUUUGAACCCAUCAUUUGAUUUUUCCUUACCCACUUCCAUCUUGCUCCUAUGGAUCAAAGAAGUGCUUCAGACUGGAAAAGGUUAGUCAUUUUAUUGAAAAUAACUGUUGGAAUCACUUCAAACUUAAUCAAGUUUUAAGUGCGGAUAUAGUUAAAAACAAAUUGUAAAGUUACGAUCUGCUUCCUCUAAUGGAGAGUUUUGUACCAAAUCAGCAACGUGAUUGCAAAAUGAAGAGGGGCAACAGUUAAUCCAUUAGAGUUUGUUAACAAAAAUGUUUUGACAAUUAAAAUGUUAGAAUUUGAUGGUGAAUGUAACUAAUUAAAAUGUGAGCAUGUGAUGGUGCAAUAUCAAAGGAAAUAGUUUCAACAUUGUCAAAGAUGAUAUGGGAGACGGAGACAUGAGACUCAUUCGUUGGAUGGACGUGUCUAGUUGCCAAAGGCUAUGCGAAAAUUUGGCUUUCGCUAUCUCCAUGAUAUGAAUCUUACAGCUGGGAAGUGCUAUCAGGUGUCAUACUACCAGGCAGCGAAGUUCCAAAUUGGUUCAGUUGCCGUAAGGACGUAUAAAUACAUAGACGCAGUCAAUGAAGUACGUAUAAAUGACCAUGGUGAUUGUUCUUUCAGAUCAAACGAGACAGAUCGAUGCAGCUCAUGUCUGGCUAAAAUAUAUUCCAUUACCGGCUCACAUAAAAUCGAAGGUGGAUGAGGUGGGGGGGGGGUGGUGAUCAAUCAAAGCCGUAACGGAAACAAGAAAAACAUGGAAAUCUAUUCCCGUUUCUAGACCAGGCUUGAGGCAUCUAUCCUUCUUGGACCAUUUCUUACCCAGCUUAAAAGCUCCAUCUGUUCUCGCCUUAAAUUCUUUGCGAACUUCAUCUGUCAUCCCUCCACUGCAGAGAGCACCGGAAAGUAUCAUCAAAGUUAUGCAAUCGGGUGAGAUUCCAUGGCAUAACAUUUCGUCAAACAACCUUGGGGCUUCUCUCCAUUGGCUGGUACGGCACAGUCCUUUAAUUAAAGAGUUGUAAGUCACAACAUCAGGCUUUUCCCCUCUACAGAACAUUUCUUCGACAAGAUUCAGUGCCUCUGCUGUCUUCCCUUCCGCGCAUAAAGCAUCCAGUACAGAAUUGUAUGUUAUAAUAUUAGGCAAGGCUCCAUAAUCAAUCAUGGUUUUAAAUAAUCUCACACCUUCCUCCCAGUUACCCGACUUGCAUGAAGCAGAGAUCAAGGAAGUAAAAGUGACAACAUCAGGCUUUAUACGUUUCUCAGUCAUUGUUCCAAACAGAGAAAGUGCUUCUUGAAUUCUGUCAUCCUUGCACAACGCGUUCAUUAGAACGCUAUAUGUGUAUACAUCUGGUGAAAUUCUACCGUUAAACAUGCAAAUCAAGAAGCUCUUGGCCUUUUCCAACCUCCCCAAUUGGCACAAUGCAUAAACUAGAGUGGUGUAGGUGACAACAUCUGGCCUGACUCCAUGAUCUUCCAUUCCUUCAAAAAGAGGGAGCACUUCUUCCCAACGACUCAUGUUGCAUAACCCAUGAAUCAAAGAGUUAUAACUGAUAAUAUCCGGUACAACACUUUUGCUGAUC